Molecule: ribosomal RNA, 325 nt
Filed under: uncultured bacterium
Lineage: Bacteria
Description: bacterial SSU rRNA
Rfam family: Bacterial small subunit ribosomal RNA
Source: RNAcentral
GAUGAACGCUGGCGGCGUGCUUAACACAUGCAAGUCGAACGAAGCGCUUGAAUGGAAUUCUUCGGAAGGAAGCUCAAGUGACUGAGUGGCGGACGGGUGAGUAACGCGUGGGUAACCUGCCUCAUACAGGGGGAUAACAGUUAGAAAUGACUGCUAAUACCGCAUAAGCACACGUGAUCGCAUGAUCGAGUGUCGAAAAACUCCGGUGGUAUGAGAUGGACCCGCGUCUGAUUAGCUAGUUGGUGGGGUAACGGCCCACCAAGGCGACGAUCAGUAGCCGGCCUGAGAGGGUGAACGGCCACAUUGGGACUGAGACACGGCCCAA